RNAcentral lists this small RNA (2031 nucleotides) under Histoplasma capsulatum var. duboisii H88. Its description in RNAcentral is "Histoplasma capsulatum H88 hypothetical RNA". The record is from RNAcentral. Lineage: Eukaryota; Fungi; Ascomycota; Eurotiomycetes; Onygenales; Ajellomycetaceae.
GCAGCAAACAUGAACUACGAACCGGACGGUGAUGGGCCGGGAGAGCUAUAGAAUUCCCGUACUUCUACACGAAAUCCCAAUGCAUACUAAUCUAGCUGCUGCUCAACAAAAUGCCUGGAUGUACAGUUCAAGAUACUCAUGCUGGUCCAGAACCAAGCGCUUUCCAUCUCGCUCUUCAUUAUAAGCAACAGUCUAUAUCUUAGCCUUAGUCGUUCCCAUCCCUUCCUCCAGACCUAGCCCACUCACAUCCGCACUCGUCUUGACCCCCAUAACCAUCUCCGCCAUCACCUUCCCUGUCCCCAAUGACAACGAAAUACCCCACGGGCCGUGUCCCGUCGCCAUGAAGACGCCACCACCAGGAGGGGACACAACCCCUGAUCCCAAAACCCAAUCCCCCACACGCGUCACAAUCGGUCUCCCACUCUCCGUCCACGGCCGGAAACAGAGUGCCUCCCGAAGUACCUCUAAAUCAUCAAUAUUUGCAUCCCCCUCGGCAUAUCUAGCCUUCGCAUCCGGGUCAAGCUUCCCCAUCAGUGUAACCGCUGCCUUGCGGACCCGUGCUACGUCCCCCGCCUCCAUCAUGCCACGCGCCUCACUCGCGAGUGCCGGGAGGGGCAUUUCCGCGCUAUUCAGACCGGCGAGAUAUAUCUCGCCACCCGCACGCGAGAAGAUCUCAGGGCUAAAGCCGCAGGAGCGUGGGUGGGUUGUGAAAACAGCGUGUGCUGUUCCGGCAUAUGUGCCUCUUUCGUGCGCGAUGGUGUGACGCGGAGAGCGGACGAGGAUGGAGUAUCCCGACAGAGAAGUGACAGGGAUGCGAGUGAGGGAUGUGGGGAAGAGGGCGUUGAAGGCAUGUGGCGUCCACGCGCCAGCGGUAAAAAUGAGGUUUGUACAGGGUAUUGUCGAGCAGGUGUUUGUCAGCCGGUUUUGGAGUGUUAUACCUGUGAUGGCGCCAGAUGAGGAGUUCCUGAUGAGCGCGAUCGCCCGAGCGGGGUUGUGGACCUGAACGCCGCGCUCGAUGCACUUCGCAAGGAGGAAUUGACACAGUCGAAGUGGAUCUCUGCAUUUAACAUUUCCAACCAGCAGAUCAGCCAAACGAAUAGAGAAAACAGCAGGGGAAGGGGAAAAAGUACGAAAAAGGUGAAACGAAAACCUACACUUGUGCUGUACCCCCAACGUCACUUAUCCUCUCCGUCCUCCCGCCCUCCUGCCUGGUCAGCCACUCCGGUGCCUCAUCCGGCUCGCCUGCUCUCUUCUCAUCCGCCCUCAUCGCUACCUCCGCCCGGCUCGCCCCUUGCCUCAGCCAAUCAUGCCCGCUCCCCGACCUCUGCCCGUCCUCAUACUGCGCUUGCAACCCCACCGCGGUGCCGCGCAUAUAUCCCCAUUUCUCGUAGCCGCUAUGCUCUCUCGAGAGCUGCUCAUGCAGCUCGAAGGACAGGUUGCCGAGCGCAGCUAGCUCAGGGGAGUACCAGUCGCGGACGAUGAAGCCAGCGGCAUAGCCUGAAGCGCAGUCGAAGAGGUCGGUGGCUGGGUCGAUGAUGUGGAUUUGGUGUCGGUGUGUUUUGGAAGCGAGAGAGAGGUAGUAAGCUGUUGAGUGCCCGAUGAUGCCGCCGCCAAUGAUUACGGUGGACAUUUUCCUUUAUUAUAUGGUUAUUAGUAUUACUACUAUGGCCUCUGUAUUAAUACUAUAGCCGUGCAGAAUGGUAAAUGAAGAAAAUGAAGGAGUGGAACGGACCGUACACUUUUAACGAUAUUUUCUAUGUAUAUAAGUACAGUACAAUCAACGCUACAGCCCAGGAUAACAACGGCUUUCAGCGCAUAUCUCAUGUUACUCACACAAAUCCACACAAUACGCCCUGUAGAUGUCAAACAUUCCGGAUCUGGGGAGGAUUCCAAGUUUUGCGGAUGGGCUCCACUUUGCUCAGAGCCGAAGGCGGGGCAAGAGGAGCGUGUAUUUUUCGAGGUUGUUACUUUUGAGAAUUGUAUGUUGUGUUUGCAUUGCGCAUUGUUCUAUAGUUGACAACCAUUGGAGGA